AAUAAUAAAUUACAAAAGUGUAACAGAAAUGGCGGAGGAGCGUAAACAAGAAAAAGGCAAAAAGAGAUGGAGGGAGAGAGACGGGUGGCUGGCUGGCUGGCCAUGCCAUGCCAGGACUGAGUGAGGAAUCGAUCCUUUGGUAAGUAGUCCCAUCUGGGCCUGCCUCUGGCUACACAUCCAUCCCCCCGCGUUGCACUUGCAUUGCAUUUACAUGCCCAAGUUUAUCUUCUGUUUAUGCGACAUAACUCACAGUUAAUAAUAAUAAUAAUAAUAACAAUGUAAACUUAAUUAGUUGGGUUGGGCUGUUGAUGAAGCGGCUGAUUGAGCAGGAAGGUCCAAAUGCAAUCCGCACCCUCAUUCUCCAAGCCAUCAUCAUCUUGAUUAAGAUCUCGAGGACUUCG
Molecule: long non-coding RNA, 401 nt
Filed under: Prunus persica (peach)
Lineage: Eukaryota; Viridiplantae; Streptophyta; Magnoliopsida; Rosales; Rosaceae
Description: long non-coding RNA (PPER_LNC003946)
Source: RNAcentral